RNAcentral lists this ribosomal RNA (582 nucleotides) under Paraphaeosphaeria sp. LF6. Its description in RNAcentral is "eukaryotic LSU rRNA". The stretch from base 211 to 364 matches the Rfam family "5.8S ribosomal RNA". Lineage: Eukaryota; Fungi; Ascomycota; Dothideomycetes; Pleosporales; Didymosphaeriaceae. The record is from RNAcentral.
GGAUUUCUAUUCAUGAGGUGCGGUCGCGGCCCUCGGCGGGAGCAACAGCUACCGUCGGGCGGUAGAGGUAACACUUUCACGCGCCGCAUGUCUGAAUCCUUUUUUUACGAGCACCUUUCGUUCUCCUUCGGCGGGGCAACCUGCCGUUGGAACCUAUCAAAACCUUUUUUUGCAUCUAGCAUUACCUGUUCUGAUACAAACAAUCGUUACAACUUUCAACAAUGGAUCUCUUGGCUCUGGCAUCGAUGAAGAACGCAGCGAAAUGCGAUAAGUAGUGUGAAUUGCAGAAUUCAGUGAAUCAUCGAAUCUUUGAACGCACAUUGCGCCCCUUGGUAUUCCAUGGGGCAUGCCUGUUCGAGCGUCAUCUACACCCUCAAGCUCUGCUUGGUGUUGGGCGUCUGUCCCGCCUCUGCGCGCGGACUCGCCCCAAAUUCAUUGGCAGCGGUCCUUGCCUCCUCUCGCGCAGCACAUUGCGCUUCUCGAGGUGCGCGGCCCGCGUCCACGAAGCAACAUUACCGUCUUUGACCUCGGAUCAGGUAGGGAUACCCGCUGAACUUAAGCAUAUCAAUAGGCCGGGAGGAA